UAAAAUCAGCACUUUGAUGUCAGCAGAUGCCUAUUAGAAUGCUAAUAUUAAAGGAGUUCUCCAAAUCAAGUCAUGAUGGAUUGGGGAUCAGCAUUCAUGGCUGGAGUAGAGAGAUGAAGAGCCACUCUGAAAGUUAGUUUAACACUUUUGUAUAAAGCUAGAUAGUCUGGGGUAUGAUCCUCGACCUAAGCCUUAUGAAAUUCGCCAAGUUAAUGUUUAUAGAAGAUUAAAAAACAGUUUUCCUCAAACACAGAAGGAUGGGUAGACAGAUGCAACACACAAGAAGAAAAACUAUAAAGAAGCCUAGAAAAUGUUCCUAUCACUGCCAACACAAGUGCACGUACAAAGUAAGUCAUCUGAGCAUAUAUUCCUCAAUCAUAAGCAUAACGAGGGGAUACUUGGUUGUAACAUAUCCAGAUGUUGUGGCUAUAUGGAUAUUUCUCCCAACAAACAACAGGAUAGAAUGAACUCCACAGGAAAAUACUGCCCUGAUGAUUGGUUGCAAAAACAAGGGAAGGGCUACAAGUUUGACAUAAGCUUUAAGUCAUGGAUUGAUAGUGAAAUAUCCUGUGCAGUCAAGAAAUCACAUCUCUUGGUGAUCAAAGACAAGGGAGAAUUGGUUUGGACAAAAGAAAUCAGAAGUGUUUUCAUAGCUGAUGCUCAGCUGCUUUUCUGGGUCUUCCUUCUCAGGAUUUCAUUCAGAGUAAAAUUCAUGAUGAAAUGUACUUUUGGAUUGGGUGAACAUUACAGACCCACAGGAAACAUGGACCUGGUUUGACUGCACACCUUUAUACCAAGUUGUGAGUGCUUGGUAUUUGUAUAUGAUUAGGGAAAUGUAAGACCUCCAGAGAUCACACCCUACUGGUAGCUCUGGGGAACUUCAAGUGGUCAGAUGACUGCAGGAUGGAAGAGUUUGAUACCUGCUAAUAAGUGAAGGUUCAUAAAAUCUGUCUUAGAGAACUACAAGGAUCCUAAAAUAAGGUAUGGCCUCAUUUAGAAUUUCAAACCUGUCUGUGAGUUGCUUUUUUAAUCAGGUGACCUAAUAGUGCUAGAAAAGUAAGACCUGGCUUUUAAAUUUCUUUGAUCAGGCAGCUGCUGCUAAGUCAAUGAAUCUAUAGCUACUGUCAAUACCAUCAGAGAUCUGAGAAGGAAGUAUAAUCCAAAUGAUUUAUGUAUCAACUAAAAUGACAGGGUUGUUGCCCUGGGUUCUCAUUAGGCAGCAUUAGGAAGAAUGGGUGUAGGUUUUCAGCUAGCAUACAGGACAACAUUGGCCUUUUGCUUCCAGACCCAAGUCUGAGAGUAGGAACCUAGGGGACUGACUUGACUUUACAGAGUACAACAGUGAACUCAGCAGUGUCCACAAUUUGUUCACGGUCCCGGUCCCGAUGGCAGAUGAGGCAUGAGGUGGUAUUUCCCAGUGCUUAGCACUACCACAGUCCAGAUGGAGUAGUCAUGACCCAUCUGUCUUCUUCGGAAACCUCAGGGCUGCUUCUAGGAACUGGGAUUUCUGUCUGUCAAGGUGUUUUCUAUUAAAAAUUUAAAUGUCAUAUUCAGCAGAUCUCUAAAAGUUUUGAGGUCCGUCUAUUAAGUGAUUUUAAAUGAACUUUGUUUAUCUUUAGUUUCUUGUUCUAGGGUUAACAUUGGAAAUAUAUUCAGGAAGCUAAAGAAAGCAUGGGCCUAUAACUGAAUUAUAUUUGUAAGGAAUUUGAUAAGAUCUAAGCUGACUAUUAAUCUGCAUGCCUUAAUUAUCUUUAACAGUUUACAAGUUAAUAGCCUUUAUAAUAUUAGAACCCUACAAUUAUAUCCCUGUUAAGUUUAACCUUAAAAAGUUAUAACUCUUGAAUUGAAGUAUUGGGUUUUUUGGUAACCAAAUAAAAUGUUAAAUCAUAAAUACA
Molecule: long non-coding RNA, 1895 nt
Organism: Mus spicilegus (steppe mouse)
Lineage: Eukaryota; Metazoa; Chordata; Mammalia; Rodentia; Muridae
Source: Ensembl